This 382-nucleotide ribosomal RNA is filed under the name uncultured eukaryote. Its description in RNAcentral is "partial 18S ribosomal RNA". It matches the Rfam family "Eukaryotic small subunit ribosomal RNA", at positions 592 to 976 of the family's 1831-position model. The record is from RNAcentral.
CAAUAGCGUAUAUUAAAGUUGUUGCAGUUAAAAAGCUCGUAGUUGGAUUUCUGGUUGAAGCGACCGGUCGGGCGUUGAUUUGUCUGCACUGGAGUCGGUUUUGGCCAUCCUCUAGGAAAGUGCGUCUGGUAUUAAGUUAUCGGGCGUAUGAUCCUGGUCUUUUACUGUGAAAAAAUUAGAGUGUUUAAAGCAGGCCUUCGCCUUGAAUACAUUAGCAUGGAAUAAUAAGAUAGGACUUUGGUCUAUUUUGUUGGUUUGCAGACCGAAGUAAUGAUUAAUAGGGAUAGUUGGGGGUAUUUAUAUUCCGAUGUCAGAGGUGAAAUUCUUAGAUUUUCGGAAGAUAAACUUAUGCGAAAGCAUUUACCAAGGAUGUUUUCAUUAA